UUGGAGGGCAAGUCUGGUGCCAGCAGCCGCGGUAAUUCCAGCUCCAAUAGCGUAUAUUAAAGUUGUUGCAGUUAAAAAGCUCGUAGUUGAAUUUCGGGAUCAGUAGGUUGGUCAUGCCAAUGGUAUGUACUGGCUUUACUGAUUCCUCCUUCUUGAUGAUCUGUAAUGUCAUUAAUUUGGUGUUGCAGGGAGUCAGGACUGUUACUUUGAAAAAAUUAGAGUGUUUAAAGCAGGCAUACGCUUGAAUACAUUAGCAUGGAAUAAUGAAAUAGGACGUUCGAUCCUAUUUUGUUGGUUUCUAGGAUUGACGUAAUGAUUAAUAGGGAUAGUUGGGGGCAUUAGUAUUCAAUUGUCAGAGGUGAAAUUCUUGGAUUUAUUGAAGACUAACUACUGCGAAAGCAUUUGCCAAGGAUGUUUUCAUUAAUCAAGAACGAAAGUUAGGGGAUCGAAGACGAUCAGAUACCGUCGUAGUCUUAACCAUAAACUAUGCCGACUAGGGAUCGGAUGAUGUUAUUUUUAAUGACUCAUUCGGCGCCUUACGGGAAAC
This 547-nucleotide ribosomal RNA is filed under the name uncultured Glomus. Its description in RNAcentral is "SSU rRNA". It matches the Rfam family "Eukaryotic small subunit ribosomal RNA", at positions 548 to 1098 of the family's 1831-position model. Lineage: Eukaryota; Fungi; Glomeromycota; Glomeromycetes; Glomerales; Glomeraceae. The record is from RNAcentral.